RNAcentral lists this ribosomal RNA (253 nucleotides) under uncultured bacterium. RNAcentral's name for it is "partial 16S ribosomal RNA". It matches the Rfam family "Bacterial small subunit ribosomal RNA", at positions 524 to 776 of the family's 1533-position model. The record is from RNAcentral.
UACGUAGGGGGCAAGCGUUGUCCGGAUUUACUGGGUGUAAAGGGUGCUCAGGUGGUUUUGUAAGUCAGAGGUGAACUUUCGGGGCUCAACCCCGGACCUGCCUUUGAUACUGCAAAGCUUGUGUACGGAAGAGGCUGAUGGAAUUUCUGGUGUAGCAGUGAAAUGCGUAGAUAUCAGAAAGAACACCAGUGGCGAAGGCGGUCCGCUGGUCCGGUACUGACGCUCAAGCACGAAAGCAUGGGGAGCAAACAGG